AACACAUGGAAAAGGGUCUGUGGAGUCUCCGUGCAACGCACCUACUUGGCUUGCCUCUUUAGGUCGCGAUGCACUGGUGUUCGCGCCCAAACACGCAUACACACACCUGUACUCCGACACACGCAUACACGCACACGUGAUACACGCGUUUCGCUCGUCCGUACACCUUUAUUGGUAGAAGAGGUUGAACCACUCGGUCACGGGUGUACAACACGCACGCCUAUAUUCGAAACGCGGCUUCACGAUCCGAUCUUUUCAAUUUUCCGAUAGUAAAUUAACGCCCUAAACGGUUCAACAACAUCGCUGCCGAGUGUACGCGAGAACAGCGCAGCCGGAAACACCGAUCAGAUAUCAAGAUGGAAAGUUCCCUCGGCCAUGUUCGUCAGCCAUUCAGGUCAUCAACAUCAAACCUGUCGCAAACAAACAUUCAUAAAAUGGCAGUUUGCCACAAACGUUUGUUGUGCACUAAAAAUAAAACAGCGUUAGCGAUAUGGCAGAAUAUAACCAAGCUACCUAUCUACAUGUUAAAAAUAAUAAACAGAGACUCAAAUUAACGAACAAGAACGAAAAAUGGAAGGGAGGGAGCAGUUUACGAAGAACCCGUGUAUAGUUUGUCGAGCUAAACAUUUCCCCCUGGUUGAACCGCACACGAAGACGCGGAACGAUCUUGGGUCGAUACACACGAAAGAUACGCGCUCUGUAUUACCGACGAGGCUCACAGCGACGAUAGCGGCAAGCGUGGAAGCACAUAAGGAGGUGGGGUUAAACGAGCCGAGCCACGAUUUCGUCGUCGUAAACGUCAACGUUACGGUUACAGCGUUGUUCCUAGCUGGUUUAUAUUGAACGAGCUUGCUCCCCGAGGUACGUAACACCUACUGGCAAACCGUCGUAUCGUCGAGUAGCACCAUACUCGUUUCCAACUCGACAGAAUGUGGCGGGAGAGACCACGUGGCUUUUACGCGGGAACCUCCUCUCGACGAUUCGACACUACCACCACGCAGAGUUCAAGAUGGAACUAAGCUGGGCUCAAAGUUGAACCUCAUCGUGGAGCAGUAACAUUGAAGUAAAAUUAACACUUUUAAUGCAAAAUAAUUAUGUCAUCACACGGAUACGAAGAAACAUCUUUAAUAUUGUAAAUUGUUAAGAGUAUAACAAUAUUAGACAUGUCGCAAACCAACACUACUACACUGUAUUUGAAUAGAAUGAUUAUUAAAAUUAACUAAUAACACCUGUAUAUAAAGAGUUAAGUAAAAGAAUGUGAUUCGGCCAGGUACGAAGCUAACGUAACUAACCCAGCUUAACCCAAAACACAAACAGUUAACGUUGAAUCGAUGAAAACUUUGAAACCAAAAGGGUGAAACUUCACUUCCUAUCCCCAUUUGCGCACGACAAACGCGUUGUUUAUCAUCCUUCCGGCUAGGGGUUUUUACACAGCACGCGACACACAUCAUGGAGGGUAAUAAUACUGUCCCGACGAAUCGGUUGAGUAGGUGUGCGACGAUAAAGCGAAAUUAUUUAUCACCGUGGCAAACGAACGUCGGUAGACGUUGAUGGCUCUAUAUUUGCUCACAGAAGACUUUAAUCUACGACGAAAUAAUCCACGAUCCUGUAUCGAUAAAUUUUCCUACGCGUGUAUCUCGCUUGUACCGGCCAACACGCCGAAGAGCACUUGCCGGCUAGCGCGAAGUGAGUCAACGACUUUCGAUCCGCGAGUAGGUACAUAGAAGAACCUGUUCCGUGCUAGUGCGAGCCGAUC
This is a long non-coding RNA of Megachile rotundata (alfalfa leafcutting bee), 1756 nucleotides long. The record is from RefSeq and is a predicted model, not a curated record. Lineage: Eukaryota; Metazoa; Arthropoda; Insecta; Hymenoptera; Megachilidae.